RNAcentral lists this ribosomal RNA (517 nucleotides) under uncultured bacterium. RNAcentral describes it as "partial 16S ribosomal RNA". It matches the Rfam family "Bacterial small subunit ribosomal RNA", at positions 29 to 523 of the family's 1533-position model. The record is from RNAcentral.
AACGAACGCUGGCGGCGUGCCUAACACAUGCAAGUCGAGCGAGAAAGUCCGCAAGGAUGAGUACAGCGGCGCACGGGUGCGUAACACGUGGGUAAUCUGCCCUGAAGCCCGGAAUAACCUCCCGAAAGGGAAGCUAAUGCCGGAUAAGACCACGGGAGCCUCGGCUCCUGCGGGAAAAGGUGGCCUCUGCACGCAAGCUAUCACUUCAGGAUGAGCCCGCGGCCCAUCAGCUCGCUGGCGGGGUAACGGCCCACCAAGGCUACGACGGGUAGCUGGUCUGAGAGGACGAUCAGCCACACUGGAACGGAGAAACGGUCCAGACUCAUAUGGGAGGCAGCAGUGGGGAAUCUUGCGCAAUGGGCGAAAGCCGGACGUAGCAACGCCGCGUGUGUGAUGAAGGUCUUCGGAUCGUAAAGCACUGUCGGGAGGAAAGAACAAGCCUGUGGCUAACAUCCACGGGCCUUGACGGUACCUCCAAAGGAAGCACCGGCUAACUCUGUGCCAGCAGCCGCCGUAA